Molecule: long non-coding RNA, 205 nt
Filed under: Capsicum annuum
Lineage: Eukaryota; Viridiplantae; Streptophyta; Magnoliopsida; Solanales; Solanaceae
Description: long non-coding RNA (CANN_LNC006709)
Source: RNAcentral
UUUGGGCCAUAAAGGUGUAAGUUAGUGCCUAAGAUCUUAAGCAUUAAAAAAAUGAGUAAUAAAAAUAAAAUACCUAAUAAAGAAAAGAAAUACAUGAUAUAUGCAACAAAAAAAUAAAGAGAAAAUGGGUAAACCAAGGAAAUAAAAAGUAGGGCAUUCGUAAAUAAAAGAAGUAGCCUAUGGUCAAAAGUUGGAUGGAAUAGAG